RNAcentral lists this ribosomal RNA (735 nucleotides) under uncultured marine bacterium. Its description in RNAcentral is "bacterial SSU rRNA". It matches the Rfam family "Bacterial small subunit ribosomal RNA", at positions 14 to 794 of the family's 1533-position model. The record is from RNAcentral.
UGAUCCUGGCUCAGAACGUACGCUGGCGGCACGCCUAACACAUGCAAGUCGAACGAAGUAGCAAUACUUAGUGGCAGACGGGCGAGUAACAUGUAGGUAUCUGCCCUUUGGCCUGGAAUAACACGAGGAAACUUGUGCUAAUACCGGAUAAGUCUUUACGGAGAAAGCUUUAUGCACCAUUGGAUGAGCCUGCACUUGAUUAGUUUGUUGGUGGGGUAAUGGCCUACCAAGACUGUGAUCAAUAGCUGAUUUGAGAGGAUGAUCAGCCACAUUGGGACUGAGACACGGCCCAAACUCCUACGGGAGGCAGCAGUGGGGAAUCUUGCACAAUGGAGGAAACUCUGAUGCAGCGAUGCCGCGUGAGUGAAGAAGGCCCUUGGGUUGUAAAGCUCUUUCGUCGGGGAAGAAAAUGACUGUACCCGAAUAAGAAGGUCCGGCUAACUUCGUGCCAGCAGCCGCGGUAAUACGAAGGGACCUAGCGUAGUUCGGAAUUACUGGGCUUAAAGAGUUCGUAGGUGGUUGAAAAAGUUAGUGGUGAAAUCCCAGAGCUUAACUCUGGAACUGCCAUUAAAACUUUUCAGCUAGAGUAUGAUAGAGGAAAGCAGAAUUUCUAGUGUAGAGGUGAAAUUCGUAGAUAUUAGAAAGAAUACCAAUUGCGAAGGCAGCUUUCUGGAUCAUUACUGACACUGAGGAACGAAAGCAUGGGUAGCGAAGAGGAUUAGAUACCCUCGUAGU